GCUUUUAAAGGAUCAAAUCAGAUGAUACUCCUGAUGGCGGAGAUCUCAUCAUAUCUUUAUUUUGUAAUUUUUUUGGGUACCAGGUAACAAGGUUAGUAAAAGAAGGAACUGGGAAAACCACCUUAGCUAUUGGUGAUGGUGCAAAUGAUCUUGGAAUGAUUAAAGAAGCCGACAUUGGAGUUGGCAUCAGUGGCGUGGAAGGUAUGCAGGCUGUAAUGGCCAGCGACUUCUCCAUUGCCCAAUUCCGUUUCUUGGAAAGGCUUCUUGUUGUCCAUGGACACUGGUGUUAUAAGAGGAUUGCACAGAUGGUUUGCUAUUUCUUCUACAAGAACAUAGCAUUUGGCCUUACCCUCUUAUACUUUGAGGCAUUUGCAGGAUUUUU
Hibiscus syriacus is the source of this 382-nucleotide long non-coding RNA. RefSeq lists it as uncharacterized. Lineage: Eukaryota; Viridiplantae; Streptophyta; Magnoliopsida; Malvales; Malvaceae. The record is from RefSeq and is a predicted model, not a curated record. The transcript is spliced from 3 exons.